Molecule: ribosomal RNA, 468 nt
Filed under: uncultured bacterium
Lineage: Bacteria
Description: partial 16S ribosomal RNA
Rfam family: Bacterial small subunit ribosomal RNA
Source: RNAcentral
GACGAACGCUGGCGGCGUGCUUAACACAUGCAAGUCGAACGGAAAGGCCCUGCUUUCUUGGUCUUCUCGAUUGGCGAUCGGGUGCGUAUCACGUGAGUAUCCUGCCCUUUACUUUGGUAUAACUUCAGGAAACUGAGGCUACUACCGUAUCGCAUCUCCUGCUGCAUGGUGUGGGUUGGAUAGUUUCGGUGGUUGGGGAUGGAUUCGCGGCUUAUCAGCUUGUUGGUGGGGUAGUGGGUUACCAAGGCUUUCACGGGUCCCCGGCCUGAGAGGGUGACCGGGCACAUGAGGAAUGAGAGAAGGCCCAGAAGCCAACAGGAGGCAACGGGGGGGAAUAUGGCACAGUGGGCGGGAGCCGGAUGAAGCAACGCCGGGUGCGGAAUGACGGCCUGCGGGUUGAAAACCGCGUUAGCCUGAGACGAAGCGGGAGUGACGGUAAUGGGUAAAGAAGCACCGGCUAACUACGUG